Molecule: ribosomal RNA, 492 nt
Filed under: uncultured bacterium
Lineage: Bacteria
Description: partial 16S ribosomal RNA
Rfam family: Bacterial small subunit ribosomal RNA
Source: RNAcentral
AGUGAACGCUGGCGGUAGGCCUAACACAUGCAAGUCGAACGGAAGCACAGUAAGAGCUUGCUCUUACGGGUGGCGAGUGGCGGACGGGUGAGGAAUACAUCGGAAUCUACUUUUUCGUGGGGGAUAACGUAGGGAAACUUACGCUAAUACCGCAUACGACCUACGGGUGAAAGCAGGGGAUAUUCGGACCUUGCGCGAUUGAAUGAGCCGAUGUCGGAUUAGCUAGUUGGCGGGGUAAAGGCCCACAAAGGCGACGAUCCGUAGCUGGUCUGAGAGGAUGAUCAGCCACACUGGAACUGAGACACGGUCCAGACUCCUACGGGAGGCAGCAGUGGGGAAUAUUGGACAAUGGGCACAAGCCUGAUCCAGCCAUACCGCGUGAGUGAAGAAGGCCUUCGGGUUGUAAAGCCCUUUUGUUGGGAAAGAAAAACAGCAUAUUAAUACCCCGCUGUUCUGACGGUACCCAAAGAAUAAGCACCGGCUAACUUCGUG